This 440-nucleotide ribosomal RNA is filed under the name Pseudomonas monteilii. RNAcentral describes it as "bacterial SSU rRNA". It matches the Rfam family "Bacterial small subunit ribosomal RNA", at positions 158 to 593 of the family's 1533-position model. Lineage: Bacteria; Pseudomonadati; Pseudomonadota; Gammaproteobacteria; Pseudomonadales; Pseudomonadaceae. The record is from RNAcentral.
GAACGCUAAUACCGCAUACGUCCUACGGGAGAAAGCAGGGGACCUUCGGGCCUUGCGCUAUCAGAUGAGCCUAGGUCGGAUUAGCUAGUUGGUGGGGUAAUGGCUCACCAAGGCGACGAUCCGUAACUGGUCUGAGAGGAUGAUCAGUCACACUGGAACUGAGACACGGUCCAGACUCCUACGGGAGGCAGCAGUGGGGAAUAUUGGACAAUGGGCGAAAGCCUGAUCCAGCCAUGCCGCGUGUGUGAAGAAGGUCUUCGGAUUGUAAAGCACUUUAAGUUGGGAGGAAGGGCAGUAAGUUAAUACCUUGCUGUUUUGACGUUACCGACAGAAUAAGCACCGGCUAACUCUGUGCCAGCAGCCGCGGUAAUACAGAGGGUGCAAGCGUUAAUCGGAAUUACUGGGCGUAAAGCGCGCGUAGGUGGUUUGUUAAGUUGGAU